Molecule: long non-coding RNA, 306 nt
Filed under: Gallus gallus (chicken)
Lineage: Eukaryota; Metazoa; Chordata; Aves; Galliformes; Phasianidae
Description: lncRNA (ENSGALG00010006995.1)
Source: RNAcentral
CUUCCCUAGAUGAUAGCAGAAGAUGUUUUCACUUCUUGAAAAUGCAAAAUAUGCCUUCUGAAAUCUGAGGUUUCCUGUUAAAAUAGGGCAUUAAUUAGGAGAACUUGCUUGCCUCAGAACUGGGUUGGAAUUAUGGUUUCACAUUAGCUGCCAGCCUCAGGAGAAGAACAUUUAGUGGUCUUGAGUUUGAAUUGGUGUAUAAAAUUGGACAACAAACUGUUUACAGAUGCAAUAAACUAAAUGAUUGUGUUUGGGUUUGCUACAUCCAAAGCAACAUUUGUUAUAAGCUUGUAAACACUACCGUGG